AUCAAGCUACUAAGGGCUUACGGUGGAUGCCUUGGUGCCAGGAGUCGACGAAGGGCGUGACAGGCUGCGAUAAGCUUCGGGGAGCCGCUUAAUAGGCUUUGAUCCGGAGAUUCCCGAAUCGGGCAACCGAGCAGGUUAAUCCCUGCUACUCGUGUUUACACGAGGGACAACCAGGAGAAGUGAAACAUCUCAGUACCCUGAGGAAAAGAAAGAAAACCUCGAUUCCCCCAGUAGCGGCGAGCGAAAAGGGAACAGCCUAAACCCGGUAUAUGUUCAAGCCUGUAUGCGUUGUAUAUCGGGGGUUGCGGGGUUCGUUGGGUGUGGAUACAGACACGCCGGAAAGGACCGUGCUUCUAGUCUAACGUCUCUGGAAAGAGCGACCGAAGAGGGUAAAAGUCCCGUGGACGAAAGAAGUGGCGCCUUUCAGCGAGUACCCCAAGUACUACGGGAUAGACAAACCUGUAGGAAUCCAGGAGGACCACCUCCUAAGGCUAAAUACUCCCUGGCGACCGAUAGUGAACGAAGUACUGUGAAGGAAGUGGUGAAAAGUUCCCCCAUUAGGGAAGUGAAAAGCCCCUGAAACCGUAUAGCCUACAAGCUGUGGUAGUGCUAAGUCACGUAAGUGACACGCAUGACCGCGUGCCUUUUGCAUAAUGAGCCGGCGACUUACUCUGUGUAGCAAGAUUAAACAUCUCUGAUGUGGAGUCGUAGCGAAAGCGAGUCUGAAUAGGGCGUAUAGUUGCAUGGAGUAGACCCGAAACCAGGUGAUCUAUCCAUAGGCAAGGUGAAGCAUAUGUAAAAAUAUGUGGAGGCCUGAACCCACCAAUGCUGAAAAAUUGGGGGAUGACCCGUGGAUCGGAGUGAAAGGCUAAUCAAACCUGGUGAUAGCUGGUUCUCCCCGAAAUAGCUUUAGGGCUAGCCUUAUGUGUUCGGCAGUGGCGGUAGAGCUCUAAUUGGACUCGCGGCCCCACCAGGUUAGCAACUCCAGUUAAACUGCAAAUGCCAUUGUCCUAAGCAUGGGAGUCAGUCAGUAGGGGAUAAGCUCUAUUGACGAAAGGGAAACAGCCCAGACCACCAGCUAAGGUCCCUAAAUACACGCUAAGUGGUAAAGGAUGUUUUGUUGCUGAGACAGCCAGGAUGUUGGCGUAGAAGUGGCAAUCAUUUAAAGAGUGUGUAAUAACUCACUGGUUGAGCGACUUUGCACCGAAGAUUUCCGGGGCUAAGCGUGUUACCGAAGCUGUGGAUAUCCCGUAAGGGGUGUGGUAGGGGAGCGUUCUAUAGUAGGACUGAAGGAGAAUCGUAAGGCGCUCUGGACGAAUUAGAAGUGAUUAUGCCGGCAUGAGUAACGAUAAAACAAGUUAAAAGCUUGUUCGCCGAAAGCCUAAGGAUUCCUGAGCAAGGUAAAUCCUCUCAGGGUUAGUCGGAUCCUAAGCCGAGGCCGAAAGGCGUAGGCGAUGGGAAGCAGGCGUAAUAUUCCUGCACCACCAUGACACGGAUGAAACUAGGGGAGACGCAGACAAUACGGACUACCAGCUGAUGGAUAUGCUGGGUUAAGCCCGUCGGAGCGCACCAGGCAAAUCCGGUGCAAUAUGCUCCUCAGGGUGAACAGGAUUCCGUAAGGAUGCAAACUGUCCCGACUGUCUGCCAAGAAAAGAACCUCGAGUGGACAACUCAUGGUGACCGUACCGUAAACCGACACAGGUAGGCGAGGAGAGAAUCCUAAGGCGCUCGAGAGAACUCUCGC
RNAcentral lists this ribosomal RNA (1744 nucleotides) under Candidatus Poribacteria bacterium. RNAcentral's name for it is "partial 23S ribosomal RNA". It matches the Rfam family "Bacterial large subunit ribosomal RNA", at positions 1 to 1705 of the family's 2925-position model. The record is from RNAcentral. Lineage: Bacteria; Candidatus Poribacteria.